CUUGCAAUGGGAAGAAAUCGCCCGUUGCCAUCUUUUUAGACAUAACAGCUGCUGUUAAGACUGUUGACUCGCCAUAACGAACCACAGUUGCUCCAUUUGCUUGUUUUGCCACCUGACCAAUUUCAACAACCAAGGGUUUCCCCGCAAAAGUUGUUGUAAAUGUUUGUUUUGACAUAAAAUAAAUUCCUUUGAAAAGCAGAAAAUCCACUUUUCAAUUCCUUUCAAAAAUAAGUUUUUUGUAAUCUGAUAUACGCUGUUUUGCUACAAAGAGCAAGCUAGCAUAAAACUGCUAAAUU
RNAcentral lists this antisense RNA (296 nucleotides) under Streptococcus iniae. Its description in RNAcentral is "Listeria sRNA rliD". It matches the Rfam family "Listeria sRNA rliD". Lineage: Bacteria; Bacillati; Bacillota; Bacilli; Lactobacillales; Streptococcaceae. The record is from Rfam by way of RNAcentral.